RNAcentral lists this ribosomal RNA (474 nucleotides) under Crucellisporiopsis marquesiae. RNAcentral describes it as "LSU rRNA". It matches the Rfam family "Eukaryotic large subunit ribosomal RNA", at positions 413 to 909 of the family's 3401-position model. The record is from RNAcentral. Lineage: Eukaryota; Fungi; Ascomycota; Leotiomycetes; Helotiales; Lachnaceae.
AGGGAAGCGCUUCACCAGACUCGCAUGCGGCUGAUCAUCCGGGGUUCUCCCCGGUGCACUCGGUCGUCUACGGGCCAGCAUCGGUUUGGGUGGUGGGAUAAAGACCGUCGGAAUGUAGCUUCUCUCGGGGAGUGUUAUAGCCUUCGGUGCAAUGCCGCCUACCUGGACCGAGGACCGCGCUUCGGCUAGGAUGCUGGCGUAAUGGUUGUAAGCGACCCGUCUUGAAACACGGACCAAGGAGUCUAACAUCUAUGCGAGUAUUUGGGUGUCAAACCCAUAUGCGUAAUGAAAGUGAACGGAGGUAAGAGCCCUUAAGGGUGCAUUAUCGACCGAUCCUGAUGUCUUCGGAUGGAUUUGAGUAAGAGCAUAGCUGUUGGGACCCGAAAGAUGGUGAACUAUGCCUAAAUAGGGUGAAGCCAGAGGAAACACUGGUGGAGGCUCGCAGCGGUUCUGACGUGCAAAUCGAUCGUCAAA